CCUACGGGAGGCAGCAGUGAGGAAUAUUGGUCAAUGGGCGCGAGCCUGAACCAGCCAAGCAGCGUGAAGGAUGACUGCUCUACGGGUUGUAAACUUCGUUUAUAAAGGAGUAAAGUGAGGCACGUGUGCCUUUUUGUCUGUACUGUAUGAAUAAGGAUCGGCUAACUCCGUGCCAGCAGCCGCGGUAAUACGGAGGAUCCGAGCGUUAUCCGGAUUUAGUGGGUUUAAAGGGAGCGUAGAUGGGUUGUUAAGUCAGUUGUGAAAGUUUGCGGCUCAAACGUAAAAUUGCAAUUGAUACUGGCAGUCUUGAGUACAGUUGAGGUAGGCGGAAUUCGUGGUGUAGCGGUGAAAUGCUUAGAUAUCACGAAGAACUCCGAUUGCGAAGGCAGCUUACUAACCUGCCACUGACAUUGAUGCUCGAAAGUGUGGGUAUCAAACAGGAUUAGAUACCCGAGUAGUC
This 460-nucleotide ribosomal RNA is filed under the name uncultured bacterium. Its description in RNAcentral is "partial 16S ribosomal RNA". It matches the Rfam family "Bacterial small subunit ribosomal RNA", at positions 338 to 795 of the family's 1533-position model. The record is from RNAcentral.